AGCAGCGAUGUGAAGCAAAUCGCACCAAAGCCGGUCCCAGUUCGGAUAAGAGGCUGAAACUCGCCUCUUUGAAGUCGGAAUCGCUAGUAAUCGCAGAUCAGCAUGUUGCGGUGAAUACGUUUCCUGGUCUUGUACACACCGCCCGUCAAACCAUGAGAGUCGCCAACACCCGAAGUCCGCUUUGCGGCCUAAGGUGGGGGAGAUGAUUGGGGUUAAGUCGUAACAAGGUACC
Molecule: ribosomal RNA, 232 nt
Filed under: uncultured bacterium
Lineage: Bacteria
Description: partial 16S ribosomal RNA
Rfam family: Bacterial small subunit ribosomal RNA
Source: RNAcentral